GCUUAACACAUGCAAGUCGAACGAAGCACUUUAACCUGAUUCUUCGGAUGAAGGUUUUUGUGACUGAGUGGCGGACGGGUGAGUAACGCGUGGGUAACCUGCCUCAUACAGGGGGAUAACAGUUAGAAAUGACUGCUAAUACCGCAUAAGACCACGGAGCCGCAUGGCUCAGUGGGAAAAACUCCGGUGGUAUGAGAUGGACCCGCGUCUGAUUAGGUAGUUGGUGGGGUAACGGCCUACCAAGCCAACGAUCAGUAGCCGACCUGAGAGGGUGACCGGCCACAUUGGGACUGAGACACGGCCCAAACUCCUACGGGAGGCAGCAGUGGGGAAUAUUGCACAAUGGGGGAAACCCUGAUGCAGCGACGCCGCGUGAGCGAAGAAGUAUUUCGGUAUGUAAAGCUCUAUCAGCAGGGAAGAAAAUGACGGUACCUGACUAAGAAGCACCGGCUAAAUACGUGCCAGCAGCCGCGGUAAUACGUAUGGUGCAAGCGUUAUCCGGAUUUACUGGGUGUAAAGGGAGCGUAGACGGCUGUGUAAGUCUGAAGUGAAAGCCCGGGGCUCAACCCCGGGACUGCUUUGGAAACUAUGCAGCUAGAGUGUCGGAGAGGUAAGUGGAAUUCCCAGUGUAGCGGUGAAAUGCGUAGAUAUUGGGAGGAACACCAGUGGCGAAGGCGGCUUACUGGACGAUGACUGACGUUGAGG
Molecule: ribosomal RNA, 705 nt
Filed under: uncultured Lachnospiraceae bacterium
Lineage: Bacteria; Bacillati; Bacillota; Clostridia; Lachnospirales; Lachnospiraceae
Description: bacterial SSU rRNA
Rfam family: Bacterial small subunit ribosomal RNA
Source: RNAcentral